UAUGUUAACUUGAUCCUGUUGAAAUUAAAUUAAUUGCGUUAGCCGCAAAUUUCUAAUUAGAGUAAUGAUACGAGUUGGGGAAAACAACGAAGCGACUGAUCAGUCCAGUUUGACAACGAAAUACAGCGGUCUUAUAACGAGUAAGAAGGGAGAUGGUUGACCUUCCUUCAGCUCCGAAAUAGGAAAGUUUCCGAGUAUGAACAAAUUGGAAAAUUAGGGCGGAGAAUAAGGAUCUUCGUAUAUAUCGCCAAAAGCAGCAGAUUCAGAAAAACGGAAAUUCAAUUAUGAAAUUUACUGUAAAAAUAAAGUCUCAACUGUGUA
Armigeres subalbatus is the source of this 321-nucleotide long non-coding RNA. RefSeq lists it as uncharacterized. The transcript has 3 exons. Lineage: Eukaryota; Metazoa; Arthropoda; Insecta; Diptera; Culicidae. The record is from RefSeq and is a predicted model, not a curated record.